Felis catus (domestic cat) is the source of this 80-nucleotide small nucleolar RNA. RefSeq annotates it as small nucleolar RNA SNORD115. The record is from RefSeq and is a predicted model, not a curated record. Lineage: Eukaryota; Metazoa; Chordata; Mammalia; Carnivora; Felidae. The transcript has a single exon.
GGGUCAAUGAUGAGAACUCAUAUGGCCUCAAAGACAGAUAAUGACCUAAAAUUAUGCUCAAUAGGAUUACACUAAGGCCC